This 76-nucleotide transfer RNA is filed under the name Marine Group III euryarchaeote CG-Epi1. Its description in RNAcentral is "tRNA-Gln". It matches the Rfam family "tRNA". From Rfam's summary of the family: Transfer RNA (tRNA) molecules are approximately 80 nucleotides in length. Their secondary structure includes four short double-helical elements and three loops (D, anti-codon, and T loops). RNAcentral also lists the same sequence under 11 other names. The record is from RNAcentral. Lineage: Archaea; Methanobacteriati; Thermoplasmatota; Thermoplasmata; Candidatus Thermoprofundales.
AGCCCCGUAGUGUAGUGGUCCAUCAUUUGAGACUCUGGAUCUUGAGACCCAGGUUCGAAUCCUGGCGGGGCUACCA